UGGGUGUCUAGUAUUUUGGUCAGGGGGUUGGACGUAGACAUGUUUCCUGUAGAGAGUCAAAAGUUUUUAGCUAGAUUUUGUAAUCAGACUUAACUAAUUUAUUUAGGGGUUUCAUUUUUAAACAAAUUAGGCUCUCACUAUUUUCUCAGAUCUCUACACUCCCUAGGUAGAGAUGUGAAAAUCUCCAUGAUUAGUAAUUUCUAGUGGGUGGUGCGGUCU
This 219-nucleotide long non-coding RNA is filed under the name Elaeis guineensis (African oil palm). RNAcentral's name for it is "long non-coding RNA (EGUI_LNC080946)". Lineage: Eukaryota; Viridiplantae; Streptophyta; Magnoliopsida; Arecales; Arecaceae. The record is from RNAcentral.